RNAcentral lists this ribosomal RNA (368 nucleotides) under uncultured organism. Its description in RNAcentral is "bacterial SSU rRNA". It matches the Rfam family "Bacterial small subunit ribosomal RNA", at positions 526 to 896 of the family's 1533-position model. The record is from RNAcentral.
CGGAGGGUGCAAGCGUUGUCCGGAUUCACUGGGUUUAAAGGGUGCGUAGGCGGAUUUUUAAGUCCGUGGUGAAAUCUCCGAGCUUAACUCGGAAACUGCCAUGGAUACUAUGAGUCUUGAAUGUUGUGGAGGUUUGCGGAAUAUGUCAUGUAGCGGUGAAAUGCUUAGAUAUGACAUAGAACACCGAUUGCGAAGGCAGCAGGCUACACAAAUAUUGACGCUGAGGCACGAAAGCGUGGGGAUCAAACAGGAUUAGAUACCCUGGUAGUCCACGCCCUAAACGAUGAUUACUCGACAUUUGCGAUACACAGCAAGUGUCUGAGCGAAAGCAUUAAGUAAUCCACCUGGGAAGUACGACCGCAAGGUUG